This 72-nucleotide transfer RNA is filed under the name Acidiplasma cupricumulans. Its description in RNAcentral is "Ferroplasma cupricumulans tRNA". It matches the Rfam family "tRNA". Rfam says of the family: Transfer RNA (tRNA) molecules are approximately 80 nucleotides in length. Their secondary structure includes four short double-helical elements and three loops (D, anti-codon, and T loops). The record is from Rfam by way of RNAcentral. RNAcentral also lists the same sequence under 4 other names. Lineage: Archaea; Methanobacteriati; Thermoplasmatota; Thermoplasmata; Thermoplasmatales; Ferroplasmaceae.
GCCGGGGUGGGGUAAUGGAUAUCCUUGGGGACUGUGGAUCCCCGGACCCGGGUUCGAUUCCCGGUCCCGGCC